This 2083-nucleotide unclassified non-coding RNA is filed under the name Hevea brasiliensis (rubber tree). The record is from RNAcentral. Lineage: Eukaryota; Viridiplantae; Streptophyta; Magnoliopsida; Malpighiales; Euphorbiaceae.
GGGAGCUUCAAUCACAAACCCAACACUUAUUUUUGGAGCCAACAUUUCUGACUUCCAGACUCUAAGCAAUUCAAAUUGGGCAAUUUCUCCACCCACCACUGCGGAUGCUGUAACUUCGUUUUUGAUGUAGAACUCUUAACCCCAUUUUUGCUUUUGCUAUCGAUGAACUCUGCACAAUCUAUCUGAAUUUUCCUGUUUUCCUUUUGGUAUAUUAUAGAUUAUAUAGAUAGAUUUAUUGGGUGUCAAGAGCAUAAUGAACAAGAGUAUCAGCGCCGAAGAUCUGUCCACUAUUGGAGGAAUCGCUACCGUUUCACUUCUUCAUUCCUUAAUUCCAACGCAUUGGCUUCCAUUCUCCAUUGUUGGCCGCGCCCAGAAAUGGAAUCUCUCAAGAAGCCUCCUUGUCAGUAUGUUCCCACCUUCUCUUUCUGUCUCUGUGUUUGUAAUUGUGUACGUGCCACUUCUGAUCUGGCUUCAAAAAGACCAUCGGUUCUGGGUUUUGUAGAAUUUAAUAGUUAAGAGGAAUCUGAAGUUUCUUUGCUUUAGCAUGUUUGUGUUCAGAGAUCAUAGUACUUUGCAAGUAACAGUGAGAAAUUUAUUCUUUUGUACAAUGCUCAUUGUAAUGGGUUCAAUUGAUUUGCUAGGUUUUAUUUGAAUUUUAUGGGUAUUUCAGCGUUCAUUUUAGGGAUUAUUUGUGGUAAGUAGAGUGCUAUUAGCUUAUGGUUUAGAUUUGGAUGCCUCUGUGAUGGAUUGUGACGAUAAAGAAACUUGAUUUAAUGUGUCAGUACAUAGCAUUUCCACAUUUCUUAGUCUUGAAAGAGUACAUCCCUACUCCAAUUCUGUGACAUGUAUAUUCUAGUUUUCUUACACAAUCUGACAUGAUAGGGGAUUUGAUCAACAUGUCUCAAUGAGUAUGUUUCCAAUAAAUAUGUAGCAGGUGCAUGCAAUAUAAAUCUGCUCUUUUAUGAGAAUGCAGUUAAUGUGGCAUGUUUAAUUUUGCUAAGUUGAUUGAAUAUCUUCAUCCCUAAUAUCCAAAUUCAAAUUGAUACUUCCAGAUGUGCCUAUAGGCAGAUGCUCUUUGGUUUGAGUUCAUUCAGUUCUGAUUGGAUUGACACUAAUCUGACCUAAUAGUAUGCUGAAGUCACACCUUUAGGUCAUUCUUGUUGAUGGAUUAGUUCACCAGGUGAACUAGAACAGGAAGCUGAAUUUUAAUUUGCAUUCUAUCUCUCAAAUAUUCGUACUUAAAGGGUAAUGAAUAUAUCUUUCAGCCUUUUUCUUUUCUUUCCUUUAUGCAGCGGCAUUUGGUGCAGUUUUGCAUGUAAUAUCCACUUCACUUCUUGGUAUAACAGCAAUAACCAUGGCAAACACAAUUGCUGGAGAAGAAACUGUGCACAAACUUGCUUCACUUUUGCUUGUAAUUCUCGGUGUUAGUUAUGUGUUACUGUUUCUGUCUGGAAAGGGUGCACACAGUCAUUCUCACAACCAACCCAUGGAGAAAAUGGCUGUAGCAGGACUUGUCCUUGUACCUGCGUUAUCCCCUUGUGCAACUACACUUCCAGUUUUUCUUGCUGUUGGGAAUUCAUCCUCCAUGAUGGUGCUUGCUAUCAUAGUGCUGCUAUUUAGCACUAUUACUGUGAUGACCUCACUGGUGGCUCUAUCAUUCUAUGGUGCCAGCCAGCUCAAGUUUCAUUGGGUGGAGCGGUAUGACAAACUUCUUGUGGGUUCAGUUUUAUGUUUGGUAGGAAUCUUGACACUUUUUCAUGAUCAUGAUCACGAUCACAAUGGAGAUGGAGGUUUCUCAGGAGAACAAUUGCACAGAAAAAUCAUCGUUCUUUAAGUGCUCUUAUUAUCUUGUAGUAUGUAUUUUGGUGUAUCUUAGAGUCUGUAGAAUACCAAUACCUCUUCUGGCUCAACAAGGCAUUGGCUGUAAGUGACUGUUGAAUGUUGAUUGCUCCUAAAUGAGUAUUAGUAUUGUUUGUUGAUCUUCAUUCUUAUCCAGAUGGUCCCUGUGUUAGUGAAUGUUAAUACUUUCUAUGUGCAUAAAUAGGUUUUAAUUUAAUUUUGUGUCUUGAGUUAAUUUAUUUCA